Molecule: ribosomal RNA, 2731 nt
Filed under: Triticum aestivum (bread wheat)
Lineage: Eukaryota; Viridiplantae; Streptophyta; Magnoliopsida; Poales; Poaceae
Description: partial small subunit ribosomal RNA
Source: RNAcentral
GCGUGGUCGUGUGUGCCUGUGUGGGCACUCAACCAGGAUACGGCCCAGGUGAGCGGCGCUUAUCGCCAUGGACGCCAUGGAGUUCUUCUUCGAGGAGUCUGGAGCUGGGCUCGCGCCGCGCUUGGACGGCGGAGACGUCCUAAGAGAUUUAGUUGCUGGCGUGCGUCUGCCUAAGGGCCGCACCAGUGGAAGUGCUAAUACGGAUGAGGUCUUGAUUUCUUCUCUGCUGAUGGGUUGAGCUGGAGGCCUGAUGGAUUAUGAAGGGGGCGAAGAUACGGGUGAAACAUUACUCACUGGGAGGGGGGUGCGGCUCGCUUGAUCUUGGCGGCGAAGGUGUGGGCGAUUCCUGUGAGAUAGGCGAUGCAGAUGUUGCCUCUGACGCCGAGGGCAGACGAAGAGGGCGUGGGGGUGUCCAACACAAAUCAGUCUUGUUGGACCAGAAGGGUAAGCCAUUGCAGGCCAACAGUUGGUCAACAAGGUGUGGCUGCAAUGCCAUGAUACGACUGCUGAGGUCGGGUGAUGGUGGAUGGUAUGUAUGUGAGCACAGGUUAGAGCACAACCAUGCUUUAUCUGUUUAAUUGUGGAGAGAAAUUGCACUCGAAGUCGCACCAACACAUAGAUACCUAUACAAGAGACCUUGUUAAGCAGUUGAGAGAGAAUAAUAUCAGCAUUAGCAAGGUUUAUAGUGUUGUAGGGAGUUUCUUUUGCAUGAUUAAGGAGGUGCCAUUCAUGAAACGAUCCUUAAAAACACUAUGUGGAAAACUUAACCGGGAACAGUCGCUAAAUGAUGCAACAAAAACCAUAGAUGUAUUCAACAAGAUGCGGGCGGAGGACCCAGAAUUUAAAUAUAGUGUCCAGGUGGACACCGAGGGCAUAAUUAAGACAUUGAUGUGGGCGACUGGUAAAGGCAUUGAGCAGUUCAAGUGUUUCGGUGAUGUUGUGGCGUUUGAUACAACCUAGAAGACAAACCUGUACGACAUGCCAUUUGGCCUAUUUGUUGGCGUUAACAAUCAUUUCCAGAGUGUCAUUUACGAAGGCGUGUUGAUGGGUGAUGAGAAAGUGGACACUUUCAAGUGGAUAUUCACAGAGUUCUUUCAAAUGCUAGCAGCGCCACGGCCUAAAACUAUCUUAACUGACCAAGCUCGUUCGAUGGAAAUUGCAAUAGUCGACGUGAUGUCGCGGACUGCACAUCGCUGGUGCAAAUGGCACGUACUGAAGAAGGCAAAGGAGAGCCUUGGAGCACUGCUUGCAAAAGGGAGUGAAUUCAAGCCACAAUUCAGCAAACUAGUCCACCACGUAGUUAGUAUUGAUGAAUUCGAGAAUGGGUGGGCGGCAUGAUGGAAAAAUAUGGGCUCCAGAAAAAUACAUUCCUGGCCUAGCUUUAUGAGGUGAGGGGGAAGUGGGUGAAUCCAUACUUCAUGGGUGUGUUCUGUCCAAAGAUGACAAGCACACAGCAAAGCGAGAGUGCGACCACCUUCUGAAAGGAUAUGUGCCACCAGGGUGCCCCAUGCACUUGUUCAUCAGGCAAUAUGAGAAGAUGCAAUUUGACCGCGAUUCAGAAGAAAGUUACCAGGAGAGAAGGACAAAAGUAGGUGGGGUUUUCCUGAAGCAAAAUAUCCCAAUUGAGGUACAUGCAUUGCAGGUGUACACCAGGACAAUGUUUGAGAAAUUUCGUGAAGUGUUGUAUGAAUGUGGAUCUUAUGACCUAGUAGAAGUCAAGCCACGCUUGGAGUACAUUGCUAGGCACAUCAAAUUUUAGUCAAUGGAAAAAUGGUGCGAGAAUGAGUUUGUGAUCUCCGUGAGCGAGACAACCGAUGAGUUCAAGUGCGAGUGUGGGAUGUUUGAGCACUAUGGAAUGGUUUGCAGCCAUGCUCUUAAGGUGAUGAUACACCUAAAACUGCAUGAGCUCCCUGCGAAACAUGUGCUCAAGCGAUGGACAAGAGAUGCAAGAGAUAUACUACUGCUAGAGUAUUUGCGCUACCAGAAGGAUCAUGGGCCGCUCAAACAUUCUUCUCGCCGACACAACACUUUAUACCUCUUGGCACUGGAUGUUGUUAAGUUAGGUGACGGCAAUGUGGAAGCAUAUGCUCUUGCUAUGGAGAAAAUGCGAGAUGUCAAAGUGUAGCUGGAGCCAGUUGCUGCUGUGAGGGAUGGACUUGGGUUGUCUGAUAGCGAACUGGCCACAAAUUCAACGGGUUCUGUCGUUGGUAACAAGCAACACUUUGAUCGAACUGAGUCUGAGCACACCAUUUCACAGGGAUCAGAUAUGUUCCCAGUUGCAUCAAAGAAGCGACUGGUUGGGCGCCCCACAACCAGCCGCGACAAAGGCUCCAUAUGAACAACCAUCAAAGAGGACUAGAUUUUGUUCCAUAUGCAGACUUCAGGGGCACUAGAGCACGACAUGCCCUGCCAGGGGUGAUGUGCCCAAGGAGCCCCGGAAAUCUCUUCGCUGCUCAAAAUGCGGGUUGACAGGGCACAGGAAGAGCACAUGCAGCCAAAGUCUGAAAUUUCAGAAAUUUAGUGUUGUUUCCUGAUGGUAUGCAUUUGUCUAGGUGACCCCUCUGUUAUUAGAAACCAUACCUUAUUUGAACACCUAAAAAGAUGGUCUUGUACUGUGUCUGCUACUAUAUAUGUGUUUGCUUAUUAUGUCGACCUUAUAUCGGGAUGUUGACAAAAUUGUUAAAUUUUCUGUUUGAAGUCAGUUAGAAAAAAAUUGUGUGCUGUGGGCAAG